This 1461-nucleotide ribosomal RNA is filed under the name Triticum aestivum (bread wheat). RNAcentral describes it as "partial small subunit ribosomal RNA". The record is from RNAcentral. Lineage: Eukaryota; Viridiplantae; Streptophyta; Magnoliopsida; Poales; Poaceae.
AUGGGGUGCCUGUUCGACUGCUUCCGCGCGGCCGGCGGCGAGCCGCGCGCCGGCCGCGCCCGCGCCCAGCUCGUCUCCUCCUCCGUCGUCCCCAGCCCCAAGGUCGGCGAGAGGAGGGCGCCGCCGUCAAGGAACGCGCUGUCCGCCGUGUUCCUGCGCGAAGAUGAGGGAUCGCAGGCCACGAGCUCGGGGUCGGACCGGGACGCCGGGAGCAACAGGGUGGAUCCGGAGCUCAUGCACGAGGAGGCCACUUUCCUCAAAAAUGGCGGUGCACUGUCGGAAACUCCAAAUGAAAUCCUUAAAGAGCCUGAAAGCAUGGAUUCAGCUCUGCAGUAUGAAACACAUUCAGCGCUGCUAACUGCCUUGUCUGAAAACAUGAAUUCCAUGGAAGUGCUGAAGGCUGAUGAAUGCCAAACUCCUUCAGGGUCUCAUCAAAGCUCCUAUCUACCAGAUGCUUCAAGCUCUUCUAGGAAUGUUUGCGAUGCAUCAAACCAGCAUGAUACUGAACCUGUGAGCAAGAGCAUAGACUCUGACGGUGUGAAUAAUGAGCCUGUGGUCGACUGCAGGAUCAAGUUAACCACCUUGGAGUCAUGCUCUGCCACCAGUAAUGAUGAUAUCUAUCUGGAUGGAUCCAAGUCUUCACCCUUUUCAACUCCUUUGAAAGUGAAUGGUGGGAUACAUACUCCAGUUAACACUCAGGUACCUGACUCGGAAGAGUUGACAAACGAGAACUGUACUAGGUCUUGUUCGCAUAAUUCGCACGAAGGUCUGAAUUCCUCUCGGGAUCUCGAACAUUGUGGAGUGUACAGAGAAGAUCCCUGCCAGCCUGAUAUAUCUGAUGAGGAUCUCAAGGGUGCAAAGAAUAACAGUCCGGAUUUGGUUGAAACUUCAAUAUCUGAUGAAUGUUCCCUGUUCCAGAACUCUGAGGGUUCUGUAUCAUCUUAUAACAAGACAAGUGAUAACACAUCUUUUGUGGAGAAAUGCCAGGCCACUGAUGUAACAGUUCAUGCCAGCAGAAAUAAGGUGAUUACAACAAAUAGUGGUUCAGAUGUCGAAUUCCCAAGCUUGUCCCAGUGGUUGAAGCCUCCAAGUUCGAGUAAGGCGAUCAGAGAUGAAAGCUAUACAAGUGACACAUUUAAUUCUGCUAAGAGUUCUGAUGAGGAUAGGCCUAUCAUUGGAAUGGUCGCGGCUCACUGGAAAUCCGAAGAGCCAGAUAAUUUUACUCCUAAAUGGUGGGAUGGAAAUGGCAUUCCCAACUCAACAAAUAAGUACAAAGAAGAUCAGAAGGUUAGUUGGCAUGCGAUGUCAUUCGAGGAGAGGCUUGAAAAGGCUUUAUCUGAAGAGAAGCUGCUUUCUCAAAGGAAAUGCUCCACUGGAAACACAUCUCACUUUUCAGGUGUAGAAGGUGAGGAAAGUGAUACUGCUGCAUCUAACCAUCUACGUGUUGCUGCUUUUACAUGA